This 497-nucleotide ribosomal RNA is filed under the name uncultured bacterium. Its description in RNAcentral is "partial 16S ribosomal RNA". It matches the Rfam family "Bacterial small subunit ribosomal RNA", at positions 28 to 507 of the family's 1533-position model. The record is from RNAcentral.
GAUGAACGCUGGCGGCGUGCCUAAUACAUGCCAGUCGAGCGAACAGACGAGGAGCUUGCUCCUCUGACGUUAGCGGCGGACGGGUGAGUAACACGUGGAUAACCUACCUAUAAGACUGGGAUAACUUCGGGAAACCGGAGCUAAUACCGGAUAAUAUAUUGAACCGCAUGGUUCAAUAGUGAAAGACGGUUUUGCUGUCACUUAUAGAUGGAUCCGCGCCGCAUUAGCUAGUUGGUAAGGUAACGGCUUACCAAGGCGACGAUGCGUAGCCGACCCGAGAGGGUGAUCGGCCACACUGGAACUGAGACACGGUCCAGACUCCUACGGGAGGCAGCAGUAGGGAAUCUUCCGCAAUGGGCGGAAGCCUGACGGAGCAACGCCGCGUGAGUGAUGAAGGUCUUCGGAUCGUAAAACUCUGUUAUUAGGGAAGAACAAAUGUGUAAGUAACUAUGCACGUCUUGACGGUACCUAAUCAGAAAGCCACGGCUAACUACGUG